AGCGUAGACGGCGAGACAAGUCUGAAGUGAAAGCCCGGGGCUCAACCCCGGGACUGCUUUGGAAACUGCCUUGCUAGAGUGCUGGAGAGGUAAGUGGAAUUCCUAGUGUAGCGGUGAAAUGCGUAGAUAUUAGGAGGAACACCAGUGGCGAAGGCGGCUUACUGGACAGUAACUGACGUUGAGGCUCGAAAGCAUGGGUAGCAAACA
RNAcentral lists this ribosomal RNA (207 nucleotides) under uncultured bacterium. RNAcentral's name for it is "partial 16S ribosomal RNA". It matches the Rfam family "Bacterial small subunit ribosomal RNA", at positions 568 to 774 of the family's 1533-position model. The record is from RNAcentral.